RNAcentral lists this ribosomal RNA (1208 nucleotides) under metagenome. RNAcentral's name for it is "SSU rRNA". It matches the Rfam family "Eukaryotic small subunit ribosomal RNA", at positions 627 to 1823 of the family's 1831-position model. The record is from RNAcentral.
CUCGUAGUUGGAUUUCGGAUUAAUGGGAGUUAAGGUCCAUCAAUUUGAUGUGUACCUUAUUCUCGUUUCCUUCCUUUUGAAUACACUCCCUGAAAUUUUUUUUUGGGGAUCAAAGUGUUUCAAAUCUUUUACUGUGAAGAAAUUAGAGUGUUCAAAGCAGGCGUAAUCUAGCCUUUGAAUAUAUUAGCAUGGGAUAAUGAAAUAGGACUUUAGUUCUACUUUCGUUGGUUUCUAGGGCUAAAGUAAUGAUUAAUAGGGAUAGUUGGGGUCACUAGUAUUUAAUUGUCAGAGGUGAAAUUCUAAGAUUUAUUAAAGACUAACUACUGCGAAAGCAUUUGACAAGGAUGUUUUCAUUAAUCAAGAACGAAAGUUGGGGGAUCGAAGAUGAUCAGAUACCGUCGUAGUCUCAACCAUAAACUAUGCCGACCAAGGAUCCGGGGGUGUUAAAUAUGGAUGACUCUCCGGGCACUUAUAGAGAAAUCAUAAGUAUUUGGGCUCCGGGGGGAGUAUGGUCGCAAGGCUGAAACUUAAAGGAAUUGACGGAAGGGCACCACAAGGAGUGGAACCUGCGGUUUAAUUUGACCCAACACGGGGAAACUUACCAGGUCCAGACACAGUGAGGAUUGACAGAUUGAGAGUUCUUUCUUGAUUCUGUGAGUGGUGGUGCAUGGCCGUUUCUAGUUGGUGGAGUGAUUUGUCUGGUUAAUUCCGUUAACGAACGAGACCUUAACCUAUUAAAUAGUUGCUUGAACACAUGAAUAUUUUAUUCUUUGUUCGGUUAACUUCUUAGAGGGACUCUUCACUGAGAGAGUGAAUGGAAGUUUGAGGCAAAAACAGGUCUGUGAUGCCCUUAGAUGUUCUGGGCCACACGCGCGUUACACUGACAUAUUCAACGAGCAUUUUCCUGGCCCGAUGGAGUUGGGUAAUCUUUUAAAUGUAUGUCGUGCUGGGGAUAGAUCAUUGUAAUUAUUGGUCUUGAACGAGGAAUUCCUAGUAAGUGCAAGUCAUCAACUUGCGCUGAUUACGUCCCUGCCCUUUGUACACACCGCCCGUCGCUCCUACCGAUUGAAUGGUCCGGCGAGAACUCAAGAUGGAAAUAGGUUUUGGACACCGUCAGGUGCUCCAACUAUAUCCAGAAUUUGUUCAAACCUUACCAUUUAGAGGAAGGAGAAGUCGUAACAAGGUUUCCGUAGGUGAACCUGCGGAAG